This 936-nucleotide ribosomal RNA is filed under the name Staphylococcus haemolyticus. Its description in RNAcentral is "bacterial SSU rRNA". It matches the Rfam family "Bacterial small subunit ribosomal RNA", at positions 68 to 987 of the family's 1533-position model. The record is from RNAcentral. Lineage: Bacteria; Bacillati; Bacillota; Bacilli; Caryophanales; Staphylococcaceae.
GACAGAUAAGGAGCUUGCUCCUUUGACGUUAGCGGCGGACGGGUGAGUAACACGUGGGUAACCUACCUAUAAGACUGGGAUAACUUCGGGAAACCGGAGCUAAUACCGGAUAAUAUUUCGAACCGCAUGGUUCGAUAGUGAAAGAUGGUUUUGCUAUCACUUAUAGAUGGACCCGCGCCGUAUUAGCUAGUUGGUAAGGUAACGGCUUACCAAGGCGACGAUACGUAGCCGACCUGAGAGGGUGAUCGGCCACACUGGAACUGAGACACGGUCCAGACUCCUACGGGAGGCAGCAGUAGGGAAUCUUCCGCAAUGGGCGAAAGCCUGACGGAGCAACGCCGCGUGAGUGAUGAAGGUCUUCGGAUCGUAAAACUCUGUUAUUAGGGAAGAACAUACGUGUAAGUAACUGUGCACGUCUUGACGGUACCUAAUCAGAAAGCCACGGCUAACUACGUGCCAGCAGCCGCGGUAAUACGUAGGUGGCAAGCGUUAUCCGGAAUUAUUGGGCGUAAAGCGCGCGUAGGCGGUUUUUUAAGUCUGAUGUGAAAGCCCACGGCUCAACCGUGGAGGGUCAUUGGAAACUGGAAAACUUGAGUGCAGAAGAGGAAAGUGGAAUUCCAUGUGUAGCGGUGAAAUGCGCAGAGAUAUGGAGGAACACCAGUGGCGAAGGCGACUUUCUGGUCUGUAACUGACGCUGAUGUGCGAAAGCGUGGGGAUCAAACAGGAUUAGAUACCCUGGUAGUCCACGCCGUAAACGAUGAGUGCUAAGUGUUAGGGGGUUUCCGCCCCUUAGUGCUGCAGCUAACGCAUUAAGCACUCCGCCUGGGGAGUACGACCGCAAGGUUGAAACUCAAAGGAUUUGACGGGGACCCGCACAAGCGGUGGAGCAUGUGGUUUAAUUCGAAGCAACGCGAAGACCUUACCAAAUCUUGACAU